GGUGGAGUGGCUCAGCUAGUAGAGCAUGAGACCCAUAAUCUUAGAGUUGUGGGUUCGAGCCCCACUUUGGGCA
Molecule: non-coding RNA, 73 nt
Organism: Podarcis lilfordi (Lilford's wall lizard)
Lineage: Eukaryota; Metazoa; Chordata; Lepidosauria; Squamata; Lacertidae
Source: the annotation of a GenBank genome assembly